ACUUGGUUAGCUCAGACAGGUUAGAGCAUCAGACUAAGAAUCUGACUGUCACGGGUUCGAUUCCCGUACCAAACC
This 75-nucleotide transfer RNA is filed under the name Posidoniimonas polymericola. It matches the Rfam family "tRNA". From Rfam's summary of the family: Transfer RNA (tRNA) molecules are approximately 80 nucleotides in length. Their secondary structure includes four short double-helical elements and three loops (D, anti-codon, and T loops). Further hydrogen bonds mediate the characteristic L-shaped molecular structure. tRNAs have two regions of fundamental functional importance: the anti-codon, which is responsible for specific mRNA codon recognition, and the 3' end, to which the tRNAs corresponding amino acid is attached (by aminoacyl-tRNA synthetases). tRNAs cope with the degeneracy of the genetic code in two manners: having more than one tRNA (with a specific anti-codon) for a particular amino acid; and 'wobble' base-pairing, i.e. permitting non-standard base-pairing at the 3rd anti-codon position. The record is from Rfam by way of RNAcentral. Lineage: Bacteria; Pseudomonadati; Planctomycetota; Planctomycetia; Pirellulales; Lacipirellulaceae.